UUCAGGCACUGAUGAAACUUUCAACGAACAUGAAAACAAUGAUGAUAAUGAAGACGACAAAUUCAAUCAUGCAGCAAUACUACCUGCUAUACCCUUUUCCAAUUCCCAUUCUGUUGAUACAGAUGAAAACUUCAGAUGGACAACCCAAUCUACAAAACUUCUCAUCAGCCAAUA
This is a long non-coding RNA of Pecten maximus, 174 nucleotides long. RefSeq lists it as uncharacterized. The transcript is spliced from 2 exons. NCBI's taxonomy places the organism in Eukaryota, Metazoa, Mollusca, Bivalvia, Pectinida, Pectinidae. The record is from RefSeq and is a predicted model, not a curated record.